UUGAUUUGAAAGAGAAACAUCUGAUAUUCUCUUGUUUUGUUACACCAAAUCAUUUGAACUUCUAGUGGAGAACUACCUUAAAGUAUGCAUUUAUUUUUCUAACUUUUUGCUUGAGCUACUUUUCAUGUUUUUUUUUUUUUUUUGUUUUGUUUUGUUUUGUUUCAACUUAGUUUAUCAUUCAUGACAACCCAGUUUUUAAUUCAUAACAGGUGUGGAAGUAUGGGGAUGGUUUUUUGACCUGUAAUUCUAAUAUUUACCCGCGCACAGAGCCUGUACCGUAUUUGACAUUUGAUGAAGCAGCUAAGCUUGCAUAUUUCGGUGCACAGGUUUUGCAUCCACAAUCCAUGGGAUCUGCUAGAGAGGCCAAUAUUCCUGUUAGGGUCAAGAACUUUUGUAAUCCUAAUGCUGCAGGUACCCUCAUCACCAGAGCUAGAGAUAUGAGUAAGACUGUACUAACCAGCAUAG
Molecule: long non-coding RNA, 465 nt
Organism: Magnolia sinica
Lineage: Eukaryota; Viridiplantae; Streptophyta; Magnoliopsida; Magnoliales; Magnoliaceae
Exons: 3
Source: RefSeq, a predicted model, not a curated record